CAGAGAGAGAGAGAGAGAGAGAGAGAGAGAGAGAGAGAGGCAGGCAGACACUCAGACCCAAGCGCGCGCUCUCUCUCUCUCUCUCUCUCUCUCUCUCUCUCACACA
Molecule: microRNA precursor, 106 nt
Filed under: Podarcis lilfordi (Lilford's wall lizard)
Lineage: Eukaryota; Metazoa; Chordata; Lepidosauria; Squamata; Lacertidae
Source: RNAcentral